GUUCACGUUUACGACACUGGAGGGGGCUUUGAACGCAUCAUGACAUCAGCAAGAUUUGGAAAGUUCCGGUGAACUUCGAUGUCAAUUGUUUAAUUGGCGGUGUGCGUCAAUACAAAGACCGGUUGUACCCGUAAAUCCGCGCGAACCCGGGGGACCUGGGUUACCCUGCAGAGAGAAAUGAUGUCAGAGCGACAGGAAGUUGCCAGCGACAGGAAGUCGGCGGUGUCGUCUCACCUGUAGACCGGCACUCCGGGGUACUGGAUGAAGUAGAAUGUUGGCUCUCCUGCAAAUCCCUUUGGUCCUGGAAACCCCUGCAACACAAGUCAGUCAGAGUUGUGACUUUGCAACAAACAGUCGAUGAUGUUGCUGCACCAGAAUAAAAAAGAAGGGACAAAAUGACGUCCAUAGACCUGAUGCUU
Nerophis lumbriciformis (worm pipefish) is the source of this 419-nucleotide long non-coding RNA. RefSeq lists it as uncharacterized. The record is from RefSeq and is a predicted model, not a curated record. Lineage: Eukaryota; Metazoa; Chordata; Actinopteri; Syngnathiformes; Syngnathidae.